Molecule: long non-coding RNA, 897 nt
Filed under: Bos taurus (domestic cattle)
Lineage: Eukaryota; Metazoa; Chordata; Mammalia; Artiodactyla; Bovidae
Description: long non-coding RNA NONBTAT015293
Source: RNAcentral
CGGACUAAAAGUUAGGCUGAGUUAAAAUAUUAACAUAGACAAUCAAUGGACUCUAUUGAAUAAAUAUUUUUGACACCUAAUUUUGAUGUACCAAAACUUUUGUUUGUCAGAGGUGUAAUAUAAAGACUUUAAAGUGAAUAAAAGAGCUUUACUGUUGGGGUGAGAAACUCCUUAUUGGAAUGCUGAAUUUCUUCUUUUUUCCAGAGAAUACACAUUGGCAAGUUGAGAGUUAUCAGCCUGUGAAACAGUAUGCAGAUUCAUGUCUUCUACUGUAUCACAUCUGCUAAAAUGUUAAUUUUUAAUAUUAAUUGUUUUUGUCUUCUUUUGCUUAAUCUAAUAGCUCUGUGUUUGUGUGUUCCCAAGUGAUAUAAUGAUCAACAAUGCUUUCAGUGUUUAUCUGCUUAAAUUCAUUUGUGGUACAAAUAGCGCCACCUCCCCUUCUUUCUUAGGAAGACUCCCUCCUCCCCCGGCUCUUAAAACCUGAAUUUCUUACUCUCGUCUACAUACUCUUUUAUGAGACUGUCUUCUGUGUCGUUUUUGGCUUUUUGGACUUUGUAGCACGUGGUUUCCUUGGAUUAAAGAGGAGUUAUUUUAAAGCAAUAAAAGUGUUUUUCCUCAAGAUGGGGAAAACAGCAUUUCUUGUAAAAUGUGAUUAGGAAUUCAGUAGGAUGGGUUUUUAUCAUCUUUUCCCAUGAAUCUGGGAUUCCCAGAAGCCCAAGUUCUGUUUUAGACGAGAUUUGUACUGAAGAUCUUUGUGAGUUUUGCUUGAUUCAGGCACUGCCUUUUGGAUCAGAGUCCAUUUAAAAUAUGAAAAUUGUACUUACAAAUGUACAUAGAAAUUUUGUUAUAUGUAAAUAUAUGUUCAGUGGCUUGCAAGUAGAUUUCCUUAGAGGCAUU